This 341-nucleotide ribosomal RNA is filed under the name uncultured bacterium. Its description in RNAcentral is "bacterial SSU rRNA". It matches the Rfam family "Bacterial small subunit ribosomal RNA", at positions 28 to 334 of the family's 1533-position model. The record is from RNAcentral.
GAUGAACGCCGGCGGUGUGCCUAAUACAUGCAAGUCGUACGCACUGGCCCAACUGAUUGAUGGUGCUUGCACCUGAUUGACGAUGGAUCACCAGUGAGUGGCGGACGGGUGAGUAACGCGUAGGUAACCUGCCUCAUAGCGGGGGAUAACUAUUGGAAACGAUAGCUAAUACCGCAUAACAGUAUUUACCGCAUGGUAGAUGCUUGAAAGGAGCAACUGCUUCACUAUGAGAUGGACCUGCGUUGUAUUAGCUAGUUGGUGAGGUAACGGCUCACCAAGGCUUCGAUACAUAGCCGACCUGAGAGGGUGAUCGGCCACACUGGGACUGAGACACGGCCCAG